AAACUUAAUCAAAUUAACUUAGAAAAUAUAUUAAAAACGGAGGAGUACUAAAGGAAAAAACAGGAGCAGCGGGGUUCGGUUGGAUCAGAAUUCACAGCCAAUUGAAUAGCGCGCGCUUUGUGUCCUCGUCCUCAUUCGCCAGAAACCGCUGCCUUAAAACCGAAUUCACCAAUGAGAAGGUAAUCUAUCACGACUAGAAGCCGGAUGGUCAUAAUUAUUCCUCUUCAGCAUGUUUCUGUCGGCAUGUGUAACUAGCAAUCUGCUGCCUUUUCGCUCUUGCCUCUCCGUGCUUAUAGCAUCAACCACGCAGUGAUACUUUGUUUCUUUUUCUGAGGAAGGAGCUAGACUUCUAGGAAUUCAGAAAGACUUCAUUAUGUUGGGCAUCAGAUUGGUAGUUGAAUCGAGGUGCCUCGGACUUUAACAGAAAGUAUAUCUCUGGUUUGUUAGAAGCCACGUCCAAGCUUUUAUUUCCCUAUUUAACAUUAUCAUAUAAAUGUGGGGUAUCCAAAUGUACACAUGUGCAAUGCACAUGUCUUCUCAUAUAAAAACAUAGACACACACCUAAGACUUAGUUUGCUUUCUUUGCAACAGCAUAUUAUAUCUGAUUAAGCUGUAUGUAAGGUAGGUGGUUCAAAGAGACCAUUUUUCCCCUCUCCUUCCUAUAAUUGAAUUUUUGUUCAGGAUUUUGAGUGUUGGCAGUCAUGUGGGUGAGGCAUGCAAUGAUGUCAAGAAUUAUUGCUAAGAGGGUAUCCCCAAAAGUUGAUGUUGUGUGGGUUGGACCAGUUACAGGAUGACACAAAUCAAUAGCCCUCUUUACUGAAAGGGACACUUAAAAGUUUUAAAUUUAGAUUUGUAUCAAAAUCUAUGUCACCAUUGGUUCCUUUGGGGGGACCCUUUUGUCAUUGGUGUUGACACGUUAUUGAGAAUGGGUCCCUUGACUUAAUCUUCUUCUGCAGCUUUUUUGAAGAGAUAUUGGUGUUGGUUCAAUUGUUUUCAGCUGAAAAUGCUUUUAGCUAACUCCUCUUUUUCUGCACAAAAUCCAACUUGUGCUUGGAACUGUCUUAGUAAAAAGUUGAAAUGGCUUCUAGUAGGGCCAUUUUAGAAUAUGUAUUAUGUGGGUGUUAGAGAAUUCUGAUAUAGAGCAAUCUGAUAGUAUAUCUACAUAAAAGGUGGUUGCUUUUUUCAUCUGAUUACUUAGUUUUGCUGUGUAAGUUACUCUUCUUGAUUUUUCCAUCCGGUCCAUAUGCUUUUUGUUGAUGUAUUGUCCUAGGUAUCCAACAGGCAAAAUUAGUUGGAACUUUGAUUGUUUCCAUAAAUUGACUAAAAGACAUGGUCCUUUAGGAACUUCAGAAGCCAUAGUGUGAUGUCAAGUGUGAUUUUGCUUAAUGAAGUCUUUUUAUCUUUUUCAUUAUUUUGAGAAGCCAAUGUGAUGUCAAGAGUGAUUUUGCUUAAUUAAGUCAGUUACUAGUAUUAUUCAUAAGAAAUCCUGGGAAAGUUCUGGAAGUUUCUUUUGCGCAUCGAGUCAAAGCAUAUGUGCAAAAUCAGGAGUUGCUUGUUGAAAAUAUGAUACCACCUCAUGUUGGAAGAUUCUUUGUUUUAUAGAUUGCAGCUGUUUCAAACUUUAUGAGCAGUAAAUACUGAAGAAAAAAAAGAGGGAAAGCUUGGUUUUGAUGACUUCAGUUUUAUAGCAAUGCAGAAUUUGUGCAUUGGCUGAGAAUCUACAGACAGAAUUCCUUAAAUUUGGUUAUGAUGAUGUGCAGUAUCUACAAGCUUCUGCAUAUAAUUGCUGUUUA
This is a long non-coding RNA of Capsicum annuum, 1793 nucleotides long. RefSeq lists it as uncharacterized. Lineage: Eukaryota; Viridiplantae; Streptophyta; Magnoliopsida; Solanales; Solanaceae. The transcript has 5 exons. The record is from RefSeq and is a predicted model, not a curated record.